CACAAACUGAAAACAUGAGAUUCGUUCUGGUCUCCUUUGUUGCUUGCAUGGUGCUCGCCGGAGCGACGGCCAAAGGCAAUUCCGGAGGCUGCUACAGCUUCUGCCGUAAUGUAUACAUACCAGUUUGUGGCAAGAACAGCAAGGGCGAAAGGCGCACCUUUUUCAACGAUUGCUAUAUGACUCGCGCAAACUGCAAUGAAAAAAAUGAUUUCAUCUUGCAGAAAGCUGACAGAUGUUAACAACACAUCUUGAAGUUUCGGACGAGGAUUCCUAAUUGCAUUUAUUUUGGCGUGUGAUUUAUUCAAUAAAGAGAUGCAAAUUAUA
Long non-coding RNA from Cloeon dipterum, 324 nucleotides. RefSeq lists it as uncharacterized. Lineage: Eukaryota; Metazoa; Arthropoda; Insecta; Ephemeroptera; Baetidae. The record is from RefSeq and is a predicted model, not a curated record. The transcript has 3 exons.